AUGCACCAUCUUGUCGUGGUCGACGCCGUCACAGCGCCCAUCACCACAUCGUCCUGCCGCACGCAGCAGCCACCUCUUGACGUGGACGGCGCCUUCGCAACGCCGAUCACCACGCCAUCAUCACCUCGCGGCAUCGCACCGAAACCGGCCAUCAGCGGUACCGCACCGCUGCCAGCCAUCACCUCGCACCGACGUCCUCCAUCUCACAUGGAGUCCACCGCGUCACCACCGUCGCACCCGUUGCCUCCGCCCAGCACCACGGCGGCCACCAUAGCCGCCGGCACCGUCGUCGCCGCCACGGAUCAACAAGGCUCUGAUGCCAAUUGUUGGCGCCAUCUCUCCUCUCGCAGCGCCCCUUCUUCUUCUACCUCUUGCUGCCUCUCACAGCUCAACUCUCUUUGUCUCACACAAGAACACACACACAUGGUGAAACUCAGAAAACACAAGCGCGCACCUCACCGUGGAGAACACAGCUUUGCUUUUCACUCCCGGUGA
Molecule: ribosomal RNA, 495 nt
Filed under: Triticum aestivum (bread wheat)
Lineage: Eukaryota; Viridiplantae; Streptophyta; Magnoliopsida; Poales; Poaceae
Description: partial small subunit ribosomal RNA
Source: RNAcentral